Long non-coding RNA from Passer montanus (Eurasian tree sparrow), 398 nucleotides. RefSeq lists it as uncharacterized. The transcript is spliced from 3 exons. The record is from RefSeq and is a predicted model, not a curated record. NCBI's taxonomy places the organism in Eukaryota, Metazoa, Chordata, Aves, Passeriformes, Passeridae.
CUUGCAAGAUUUAAUCAGCUAUGAUAAGGAGCAUAUUUCUCAGCAUUUUCUGAAGGUUGCCAAGGAGCAUUACUUGAAGGAUCCAGACUUCAACCCAAAUUAUGUUCAUACAGAAUCCUUUGCAGCAGCUGGUCUCUGUUCCUGGGCCAUCAAUAUAGUAAAAAUCAGUGAGGUGUAUUGUGAGAGAGAACCAAAAUGUUGUGCACUGGCUCAGGCUCACACUGAAUUAGCAGCAGCUAAAGGAAAAGUAUAAGUCAUCAGGAAAAAGCUUCUUGAAAUUAUAUGGCUGAGAGAUGUAUUUCUUCUGAUGGUUAGUGCCUGGUUUCCUGCCUGUGAAAUGUUAGAGGAUGAUGAGUUCAUUAGAAAAGUUCAGCAGAUGGAAUAAAGUCUGCAGACAG